AAAUGAUGGGUAAUACUGUAUAAUCCCCGCGGGGGAAAGAUUUAUCGCUAUUAGAUGAGCCUACGUUAGAUUAGCUAGUUGGUAAGGUAAUGGCUUACCAAGGCUAUGAUCUAUAGCUGGUCUGAGAGGACGAUCAGCCACACUGGAACUGAGAUACGGUCCAGACUCCUACGGGAGGCAGCAGUGGGGAAUAUUGGACAAUGGGCGAAAGCCUGAUCCAGCUAUGCCGCGUGAGUGAAGAAGGCCUUCGGGUUGUAAAACUCUUUCAAUAGGGAAGAUAAUGACGGUACCUAUAGAAGAAGUCCCGGCAAACUCUGUGCCAGCAGCCGCGGUAAUACGGAGGGGGCAAGCGUUGUUCGGAAUUAUUGGGCGUAAAGGGCACGUAGGUGGACUAGUAAGUUAAAAGUGAAAUACCAAAGCUUAACUUUGGAGCGGCUUUUAAUACUGCUAGACUAGAGGUCGAAAGAGGAUAGCGGAAUUCCUAGUGUAGAGGUGAAAUUCGUAGAUAUUAGGAGGAACACCAGUUGCGAAGGCGGCUAUCUGGUUCGAUACUGACACUGAGGUGCGAAAGCGUGGGGAGCAAACAGGAUUAGAUACCCUGGUAGUCCACGCUGUAAACGAUGAGUGCUAAAUGUGAGGAUUUUAUCUUUGUAUUGUAGCUAACGCGUUAAGCACUCCGCCUGGGGACUACGGUCGCAAGACUAAAACUCAAAGGAAUUGACGGGGACCCGCACAAGCGGUGGAGCAUGUGGUUUAAUUCGAUGCUACGCGAAAAACCUUACCACUUUUUGACAUGAAGGUCGUAUCCCUCCUAACAGGGGGAGUCAGUUCGGCUGGACCUUACACAGGUGCUGCAUGGUUGUCGUCAGCUCGUGUCGUGAGAUGUUGGGUUAAGUCCCGCAACGAGCGCAACCCUCAUUCUUAGUUACCAACAGGUAAUGCUGGGCACUCUAAGGAAACUGCCAGUGAUAAACUGGAGGAAGGUGGGGAUGAUGUCAAAUCAGCACGGCCCUUAUAAGGUGGGCUACACACGUGCUACAAUGGCAACUACAAUAGGUUGCGAGACCGCAAGGUUUAGCUAAUCCAUAAAAGUUGUCUCAGUUCGGAUUGUUCUCUGCAACUCGAGAGCAUGAAGUCGGAAUCGCUAGUAAUCGUGGAUCAUCACGCCACGGUGAAUACGUUCUCGGGUCUUGUACACACUGCCCGUCACGCCAUGGGAAUUGGCUUAACUCGAAGCUGGUGUGCUAACCGCAAAGGAAGCA
This 1262-nucleotide ribosomal RNA is filed under the name uncultured Ehrlichia sp. RNAcentral describes it as "bacterial SSU rRNA". It matches the Rfam family "Bacterial small subunit ribosomal RNA", at positions 154 to 1451 of the family's 1533-position model. The record is from RNAcentral. Lineage: Bacteria; Pseudomonadati; Pseudomonadota; Alphaproteobacteria; Rickettsiales; Anaplasmataceae.